This 2034-nucleotide ribosomal RNA is filed under the name Triticum aestivum (bread wheat). RNAcentral's name for it is "partial small subunit ribosomal RNA". The record is from RNAcentral. Lineage: Eukaryota; Viridiplantae; Streptophyta; Magnoliopsida; Poales; Poaceae.
AUGGGGUGCGCCGUGUCCAAGGGGGCGUCGCUAGGGUCACCGGGGUACGAGGUGUCGUCGGCGUCGGGGUACGAGGUGGUGCCCGGGAGCGCGUCGGCGUCGGCGUCGGCGUCGAUAUGGAGCAGGCCUGUGCGGCGGGAGGCGCUUGAUCUUGGCGGGGAUGGGGAGGAUGACGAGGGCAAGGGCGCGCGCGGCAACGUCGUCGGUGGCACGGCUCGGCUGGGGAACCUGCACCGCUACAUCGAGUGCGAGCAGGUGGCGGCCGGGUGGCCGGCGUGGCUCAGCGCCGUGGCCGCCGAGGCCGUGCAGGGCUGGGUCCCCCUCAAGGCCGAGAACUUCGAGAAGCUCGAGAAGAUCGGGCAGGGCACGUACAGCAGCGUGUUCCGCGCGCGGAGCCUUGAGACGGGCCGCCUGGUGGCGCUCAAGAAGGUGCGGUUCGACAGCGUGGAGCCGGAGAGCGUGCGCUUCAUGGCGCGGGAGAUCAUCGUCCUCCGCCGCCUGCAGGGCCACCCCAACGUGAUCGGCCUCCAUGGCCUCAUCACCUCCCGCUCCUCCGCCUGCAUCUACCUCGUCUUCGAGUACAUGGAGCACGACCUCGCCGGGCUCGCCUCCUCCCCCGACCUCUCCUUCUCCGAGCCCCAGAUCAAGUGCUACAUGCGGCAGCUGCUGGCGGGGCUGGAGCACUGCCACGCGCGCGGGGUGAUGCACCGGGACAUCAAGUGCGCCAACCUGCUGGUGAGCAGCGACGGCGUGCUCAAGGUCGCCGACUUCGGCCUCGCCAACGUAUUCUCCAACUCGCCCACGCAGCAGCAGCUCACCAGCCGCGUCGUCACGCUCUGGUACCGCCCGCCGGAGCUCCUCCUGGGCGCCACCGCCUACGACCCCUCCGUCGACCUCUGGAGCGCCGGCUGCGUCUUCGCCGAGCUGCACGCGCGCCGCCCCGUCCUCCAGGGCCGCACCGAGGUCGAGCAGAUCCACAAGAUCUUCAAGCUCUGCGGCUCGCCGCCCGACGCCUACUGGAACCGCGCCGGCAUGUCGUCCAACGCCUCCGUCUUCCGCCCGCAGGCCCCCUACGAGAGCCGCCUCGCGGAGACCUUCGGCUCCGCCAUGCCCGACGCCGCCUUCCGCCUCCUCGGCGCCCUCCUCUCCGUCGAGCCCGCAGAACGCGGCACAGCCUCCACCGCCCUCGCCUCCGACUACUUCUCCACGGAACCGUACGCAUGCGAGCCGUCAAGCCUGCCCAAGUGCGCGCCAAACAAGGAGAUGGACGCCAAGUUCCGGGAAGAGUCCAGGAGGAGGAACAACGCGCCGCCGACGGCGAAGCGGCUGUCAAGGGCGCACAAGAGCAUGCAGGACACCAGCCAGAGGCAUCACAGCCACGUCCACGCCGAAGAGUCGCUCCCCCUGGAAGUCGACGGCGGCCUGCGGCCCGAGCCGGCGACCGUUAGCGAGCGCCACGACAACGACGCCCCGCAGCCGGAGCCGCCGUGCACUAGGCAGACGCCCUGCAGCUGCCAGGAGGAGGAGGACGCGCCGGCGCCGACGCGGCUCCCCGACCACCUCGCUCUCUCCGGCGGCCCCGUGCAGCUCGCCGCGUCCACCGGCUUCGCCUGGGCCAAGAAGCCCAGAGUGCCGGACGCGGCGACGACCAAGAGGAGCGCUCCCAGGGGACCAAGAAGUACCAACACCGACGGAGGCGACGCCGCAAGCGCAAGAACGACGGCCAGCGCCACCACAGGUCCAUACGAGGCGGAGAAGCAGGAGAUGAUCAAGCAGUGGGCGCAGGUCGCAGAGGCGUUCACCUCAUCCGAAGCCUACAACAGCAGGUCCACCAGGGAGCCAUUGGACGCCAAGCAGCUCAAGACCAGCAAGAAGCACAAGGGGAAGAUGAAGAGGGUGGACUACUCAGGGCCGUUGCUCUCGGAGCCGCGGCGCGUCGACGAGCUCCUGCAGAGCCACGAGCAGCGGAUCCGGCGAGCCGGCCGCCGCCGGUCGUGGUUCCACAAAGGAAACAAGAGGGAGCAGCAGCACUGA